GUGAACGCUGGCGGCGUGCCUAACACAUGCAAGUCGAACGAUGAUAGAGAGCUUGCUCUCUUGAUUAUUGGCGCACGGGUGAGUAUACCAUAGAUAAUGUACCUCUUAGUUCGGGAUAGCCACUGGCAACGGUGAUUAAUACCGGAUACUCCUUCUUACUCUAAGGUAAGUCGGGAAAGUUUUUUCGCUAAGAGAUCCGUCUAUGUCCUAUCAGCUAGUUGGUGAGGUAAUGGCUCACCAAGGCUAUGACGGGUAGUGGGUUUGAGAGGAUGAUCAGACACACUGGAACUGAGACACGGUCCAGACUCCUACGGGAGGCAGCAGUGAGGAAUAUUGCACAAUGGAGGAAACUCUGAUGCAGCAACGCCGCGUGGAGGAUGACGCAUUUCGGUGUGUAAACUCCUUUUAAGAGGGAAGAUAAUGACGGUACCACUUGAAUAAGCACCGGCUAACUCCGU
RNAcentral lists this ribosomal RNA (458 nucleotides) under uncultured bacterium. RNAcentral's name for it is "bacterial SSU rRNA". It matches the Rfam family "Bacterial small subunit ribosomal RNA", at positions 29 to 506 of the family's 1533-position model. The record is from RNAcentral.